Molecule: long non-coding RNA, 2330 nt
Organism: Neopelma chrysocephalum (saffron-crested tyrant-manakin)
Lineage: Eukaryota; Metazoa; Chordata; Aves; Passeriformes; Pipridae
Exons: 2
Source: RefSeq, a predicted model, not a curated record
UUGGAAAAACCUGUAUAUGUGCACAAAAUUCUCAAAUGGGCAAUAUUUUCAAGAAAAAAAGAAACCAGAGUUUUUGUUCCUCUGGUUUCCCAGGAAUAAAUAUUGUGAUCUUUUUGGGAAUAGGACGGACACCAGGCAACUCAGCACCAUUGAGACAUAGGUAGUUCUGUUUCUGAAGGGUAGCAGACCUCUGGGGUACUUAGGAAAUUUCUUUAGCUGCAGGAUAAGAUGAAACUUAAUGGAUUCAGAUUUUGAGAAGUAAUAUUUUAAAUUACUAGAUGCCCAAGUUCUUGCCCAUGUUCUAACUUGCCAGAACACCAUCUCAUACAGAUCCAGUUUCUAGGCAGCUCUGCAACAGUUGUAAGGGUUAAUUUUUCUGCUGUAUCACUGCACCCAGAUAUCCUUCCCAUGUAGAUACAUGCAACUUUAAUACAUGAACAUGACAUAAAUCUCUGCAGAUUUGGACUGUUUCUUCCACCUAACACAGUUUAUAGUUAUAAAAAAUUAAAUAAAGAACUGAAAAUAUUAAACAGGGAAAUCAGUUAAGCCCUACCAGCUAUUAUCUCUGUCCAUUCAGGAUAGUGUGGCAGGAGCAAAACAUGGCUUAUAAUGCAGGAAAACCUUAUAAAUUAUUAUCUCUUACCAAAACUUUCAAGGAAACAUACAUUUGAUAACAGUUGUUCUCCCAUGAGUCAGACUAUACUUACACAAUGGAUGCUGAUAAGAAAUCUAAACCAUAAUCCAAUGCGAGAGAUUACUUAGCCAUUUCCUUAGUUAUGUGGCAGAGAAUGAGGGAAAACAAAUAUACUAAAAUAAGGAAGAAAGAAAGUAAAUAUUUUUUUCUGCAACCUAGCACCCCUGCAGAAUAGCUACAAGGUAUUCUGAAAUUUGCAGGUAAAACUGUGUGGUAGUGGCUGAAGGUCUUUAGCUGGGAAACACACACAAAACCCAAUCAAGGACCUUUACUGGUUUUAGGGGGCCUCAGGUACUGCAUACCUCUUUCUAUCAUUAAGAAGAACAAUAAGAAUUUUAAAUAUGCUGUAUUGUUAAUGCCAGUAAAUUAAACCCAAACCCUGCAAUGGCCUCCUCAACCAUCAGCAAAGGAGAACGUGGGGAAAAAAGGAAUCUGAUUUUCAAAGACAGCAUGUACCCAGAAAGACUGCUUCUUUAUAUAACAGCUGUGCAUGCUACCCUCAAAAACUAACCACCAAGGGGGGGCAAAAACCAGAACUAAUGUUUUUUAGCCUUCACACCUCUCAUUUUCAGAAUGUAAGGUAAACUCUUCAUUUUGGUCACACUGUCUUGAAGUGAGCUGAUUACUGAUUAUGAUAACUUACCAUAUCCUAAACAGCAUGAAGUUAUGCCACACUCAAAGCACAGUGCUGUACAGCCUUGCUAGUUUAUUUUAGCAAUUUGUGAGACAUUAAUCUCAAAUGUGUCACUCUGCUGCAAGUUCCUGAUACCAGAUCUCUGAGCUUGUCCUUGGCACAAUAUCUGUGUAGCAAGCAGGUGUGGUCAAUUCUCCACAUUUACCUUGUUCAAAACAACAGUAGUUUUUAAUAUUUGCCUAUUAUGUCCACCGUAAUCUAUUUGCUGUGCUGCUACAGAGCUUUAAAUCAUACAGAGUUAAGUGCCUAUAGUUAAUUUUAAGAAUUCUCAUUGGCAUCAGCUUAAGACCUCAUGAGAAAUAUAGAGCACUAAACAUAUGUCACCUCUUAAAUCAUGAAACAACCCAAUGGCUGAAGUCCAACCUCCUCUCCACCUGCAGUUUAACUUUACUGAGAUAAUAUGGGAAGGUAAACAGUCCCCCCCUUUGGAAAAUAAGAAGCACUGAUAAAAAAUUGGUAAGCUAAUUUAUAGUGCACUGAUGCAGGAAUGGGAUGAAAAAAAUGUAGAGAAUAUGGUACCUUACUACACUGCUAAUACUGAAAGAUAAGAAAUUCUGCUGUAGGUAAGUCUUAAAAUUUGUAUUAGUGCUGUGUGUACCCUAGACUUGUGCCACUUUGAGGAUAAGAAUCUUACAGGAAGAAUAUGAUUGCUGAUGAGGCACAUUUAUAUUUAUGAAAAAACAUGGCAUCAGUGACAUGUUGUCAGCUUAAUAACACUCUUAUUUUGGGCAAUGGAUCCAAGGUCACAGAUUUCUAAGUUUAAAUGUAGAUGGAGGAAAAUAAGGAAUGCUGAAUAUAGGUCAUGAGGUUCCCAAAAAGAGGAUAGUGGAGAUAGGGAACAGAGCUUGGAAUAGUGGAUUGUAAAGAGCUGGCUCCACUAGACUGUACUGAAUAGCCCUCUCAUAGCAUUGCUAUUGCAAAAUACAGAAAGCAUAAACUUAA